AUUGAACGCUGGCGGCAUGCCUUACACAUGCAAGUCGAACGGCAGCGGGGGAGAAGCUUGCUUUUCCUGCCGGCGAGUGGCGAACGGGUGAGUAAUACAUCGGAACGUGCCCUGUAGUGGGGGAUAACUAGUCGAAAGAUUAGCUAAUACCGCAUACGACCUGAGGGUGAAAGUGGGGGGCGGCAAGGCCUCAUGCUCUAGGAGCGGCCGAUGUCUGAUUAGCUAGUUGGUGGGGUAAAGGCCUACCAAGGCGACGAUCAGUAGCUGGUCUGAGAGGACGAUCAGCCACACUGGGACUGAGACACGGCCCAGACUCCUACGGGAGGCAGCAGUGGGGAAUUUUGGACAAUGGGCGAAAGCCUGAUCCAGCAAUGCCGCGUGUGUGAAGAAGGCCUUCGGGUUGUAAAGCACUUUUGUCCGGAAAGAAAUGGCUCUGGUUAAUACCUGGGGUCGAUGACGGUACCGGAAGAAUAAGGACCGGCUAACUACGUGCCAGCAGCCGCGGUAA
RNAcentral lists this ribosomal RNA (508 nucleotides) under uncultured bacterium. RNAcentral describes it as "partial 16S ribosomal RNA". It matches the Rfam family "Bacterial small subunit ribosomal RNA", at positions 30 to 523 of the family's 1533-position model. The record is from RNAcentral.